Molecule: long non-coding RNA, 3013 nt
Organism: Gadus chalcogrammus (walleye pollock)
Lineage: Eukaryota; Metazoa; Chordata; Actinopteri; Gadiformes; Gadidae
Exons: 3
Source: RefSeq, a predicted model, not a curated record
AAGCGUUUUAUUAGCAGUUUAUGUUGGGUGGGCAGCUGAAAGGAGUCGUACUGAAACAAACGGCUCCUUGCUAUGGACCUAUUUUGAAGUGCACGGCUUCCGAAUUAAAAUUAAAUUCCGAAUUAACUUCCAUUAACUCCAUUAACUUCCAAAGUCUGAGAUUUGUCCUUUUACUUAACAUGAAUGGCGUUGAACACGGAUAUAUAACACACAUAUCAUUGAAAUAGCUGUAACAGGCACGGACGUAUUGAUUACCUGAAUGAUUAUGGGAGACCUACGUAAUUUUCAUAAUAUUGUUAAUUGUCUGAUAUUAACAUUUCAGUUGCGUUGGUAGGUAUUUCAUUUUCAUUUGCUUGUUUAGCUAUGUAUGACAGGGUUAUGGUUAGCUAUGUAUGACAGUUGACAAUGUUGGUGUAUUACAAUUCAUUAUUUGGGUAGGCUACUCCAACUUCGUUGCUGGUCGAUAUGUAAACAUUUACUUUUAUAUAAAUUAUUGAUUGCAUUUUUCGUAAAUAGUUAGUUCGAAGGAAUCUGUUUCUUAAGCAAUAACAUUGAACUGAAUUUUUUAGGCCUACAUACGUUUACUAUGUUACUAUGGUAUUAUAUGGAGCAAUCUUACAUAUUUAUGAAGUUUCCAGAUCAAUAAAGUUCUAUCUCUUUUUAUUUGAACUGCCUGUAUGUCCUCUUGAUUAUAAUAUUACAGUGUGUACCUUGGUUAUCAGCUAUCAUAGAAUGGUGUCCAAAUGGCUGCAUGUGUAAGAAAUAGGAUUUGAACCAAGUGUUACAAUAAAAAAAGCUAGAUAUAGAGUGGGUGACUUUAUCAGUAUACUCAAUCGAGAUGGCCACAAUAAUAACCGCUCUUAGAUGGGUUGUAGAUACUAAGUUUUAUAACAGAUAAUUCAAUACGUGAAGAUUUGGUGAUAGAGGUAAAGCAUCUUCUUUUAAAUAUUAUAAGCCUUGGUUUAGUUAUUCAGUUCUGUUGGAUUCUAGCCCACCAUGGAAUAUAUGGCAAUGAAAUUGCUGAUAAAUUAGCUAAAAGAUACUAACCUAAUUAGAAGAAUUUAACCUUAAGUAUAUAUAUUUUUUAUUUUUUAUUUUUAUUUUUUAAUUCUUUUGUUAGUUUGUUUUAUUUUGUUUAUUUUGUUUCGUUAGUUUGGUUUUUUCUUUGAAUUUAUUUUUAUGAUUUAAAGUAUCAUUUGCCAACGUCCUUGUCACAAACUCCUGUGUAGCAGUCCAGUAGGUGGCGGUAUAUGGGGAAAAACUAUGAUCCGCCACUAAACUAGAAGAAGAAGAAGAUCUCUGCAUCCGGUACGUCACGGACUAGGUCACGUGUCUUGGCCCCAUAACGCGGAAGCAAAUCGCUCCUGUAUGUUGCCCUGCGCCACUGAGCAGUUUGUAUAGGAAUGAAUGGGCGGCCAUUUUCUUUCGUCUGUGGUCCAUCCUUUAUUAUGUCCAUGGAUUAGACCCAGCUUCGAAAGUUGACUGCAUACAUCAUCUCUGGCCUUACUAUAAAAUAUUGAUUUACAAUGUGCAAUUUUUCCCUGAUAAAUUAAAUUCGACGAACAAAACCUGCAGCUGUCGUUGACGGACAUUUUUGUGCAGACGCGCAAGGUGUUUUGGUUUGUGUACAACCUGCGCGUGAUUCCCGGCGCAUGACAUACGUCACAACCAAACGUUAGCGAUUGGUUAUGGCAGAUCCAGAGUGGCACUGGGCAGAUCCAAUCAUUUUAAACUUCAACAGACACCCGCCUUCAAGUGAGUUAACGUUUGUCAAUUGAUUAGGUCCAGACUCUCUGUACAAAUGAAAUUAAAUGAAGUGAAGUACGAGAGUCUGGUAGAACCAGGCUAGGUCUGGACCUGCUGUAUGUAAUUUGGUUUUCUGGGGCCGCCACAGCGGCGCCCAAUCAGCGAACAGAGGGCGUGUCUGAGAACAAUGACGAUAAAGUCGUGCGCCAGUUUGAGUUGUUGUUGUAGGUCGGUAGUCAGAAGGCAAUGGAGAACGAUGUGAGCGAAGCUAUUCGGUCUGUUGUGGCAACGCUGCCGAAUAUUGAGAAGUUAAAGCCGGAGCAAGAACAAGCUUUGUUGAGUUUUGUUGGUGGCCAUGAUGUGGUGGCGCUUCUCCCCACGGGGUUCAGGAAAAGUUUGAUUUUCCAGCUGGCUCCGCUAUUGGUGAAGGAGUUGGGUAAGGCGAAUGCUGGCGAUGCUAAGCCGAUAGUUAUUGUAGUCUCCCCUCUCGUUGCACUAAUGGAGGACCAAGUGAAGGAGGCAGAACAGUUGGGAGUUCGUGCUGGGCAGCUCGGCGUGCAUGAUGACCGUGACAUUUUGGAUGGAAGCUUGAGUCUGGUGUUCGGCAGCCCCGAGUCCUGGCUGCUGAACAACAAAUGGUGACGAAUGCUAGCCUCAACCAUAUACCAGGACAACCUCAUUGGUAUCGUCGUAGAUGAGGUCCACGUUACGUACAAAUGGGGUGAGGCUUCCAAAGGCGAGUCGGCAUUCCGAGAGAGUUUUGCCAAGCUCGGAGAGCUAAGAUCUAUAGCCAAGGAGGGCUGACACACCUGCAGCAAAUUUGAGAUCCCCACGCCCAAUUACCAGCCUGCUGCAUAAAGCCAGCAAGUCAGUUGCUUGAGGAGAACAGACCCGGCAACACCUUUGUCCCACAGUGCGAGUUGUUAAAUAGCCUUUUCUUUCUGUAAUCUUUGAUCUAGGCCUGGGGAUGGCCGGCGGUCCUACUUUUCCGUUUAGUUCUUAGUUUAUGAUUUGGUUUGGUCAGGCAGGGAGGGGGGCCAGCCUCGACGUCCCUAUAGGGGGUGGCCUGGUCCCCCCUCCAUUUUGCUGAGUUUGUCCGGCAUCCCCAGGUCCCUUUUGGUUUGCAGUCUUCUUUAUUUGGUAAAGUAUUCAUACUGCAUUUCAGCUAUGGUUUCAUUUGGUUAAUAAAACCCGUUAAAACAUCUUAUUUCAUGGUGUCCUUCCUUUAUGUUGGGGUCUCCAAUUCAAGCCACUGGGUAUCUUAUUC